Molecule: transfer RNA, 75 nt
Filed under: Variovorax sp.
Lineage: Bacteria; Pseudomonadati; Pseudomonadota; Betaproteobacteria; Burkholderiales; Comamonadaceae
Also listed under: 4 other names
Description: tRNA-Val
Rfam family: tRNA
About the family: Transfer RNA (tRNA) molecules are approximately 80 nucleotides in length. Their secondary structure includes four short double-helical elements and three loops (D, anti-codon, and T loops). Further hydrogen bonds mediate the characteristic L-shaped molecular structure. tRNAs have two regions of fundamental functional importance: the anti-codon, which is responsible for specific mRNA codon recognition, and the 3' end, to which the tRNAs corresponding amino acid is attached (by aminoacyl-tRNA synthetases). tRNAs cope with the degeneracy of the genetic code in two manners: having more than one tRNA (with a specific anti-codon) for a particular amino acid; and 'wobble' base-pairing, i.e. permitting non-standard base-pairing at the 3rd anti-codon position.
Source: RNAcentral
GGGCGGUUAGCUCAGGGGUAGAGCGCGUCGUUCACACCGACGAGGUCGCAGGUUCGAAACCUGCACCGCCCACCA